AGCGUUGUUCGGAAUCACUGGGCGUAAAGCGCACGCAGGCGGAUUGAUAAGUCAGGGGUGAAAUCCCGGGGCUCAACCUCGGAAUUGCCUCUGAUACUGUCUGUCUUGAGUUCGGGAGAGGUUGGCGGAAUUCCUAGUGUAG
This 142-nucleotide ribosomal RNA is filed under the name uncultured Alphaproteobacteria bacterium. RNAcentral's name for it is "partial 16S ribosomal RNA". It matches the Rfam family "Bacterial small subunit ribosomal RNA", at positions 537 to 678 of the family's 1533-position model. The record is from RNAcentral. Lineage: Bacteria; Pseudomonadati; Pseudomonadota; Alphaproteobacteria.